ACCCAAUAGAUACCCAGGUAGUCCUGGCCCUAAACGAUGAAUGCUUGGUGUGACGGGUAUCGAUCCCUGUCGUGCCGAAAGCUAACGCAUUAAGCAUUCCGCCCGGGGAGUACGGUCGCAAGGCUGAAACUCAAAGAAUUGACGGGGCCGCACAAGCGGUGGAGCAUGUGGUUCAAUUCGACGCAACGCGAAGAACCUUACCCAGGCUCGAACGGCAUUGGACAUCCGGCGAAAGCCGGCUCCCGCAAGGGCCGAUGUCGAGGUGCUGCAUGGCUGUCGUCAGCUCGUGUCGUGAGAUGUUGGGUUAAAGUCCCGCAACGAGCGCAACCCUUGUCCGCUGUUGCCAUCAGGUUAAGCUGGGCACUCUGCGGAGACUGCCGGUGAUAAACCCGGAGGAAGGUUGGGGAUGACGUCAAGUCAGCAUGGCCUUUAUGUCUGGGGCUACACACGUGCUACAAUGGCAGGUACAAACCGUCGCGAUGCCGUAAGG
RNAcentral lists this ribosomal RNA (490 nucleotides) under uncultured bacterium. RNAcentral describes it as "bacterial SSU rRNA". It matches the Rfam family "Bacterial small subunit ribosomal RNA", at positions 771 to 1262 of the family's 1533-position model. The record is from RNAcentral.